GACGAACGCUGGCGGCGUGCCUAAUACAUGCAAGUAGAACGCUGAAGCGAGGAGCUUGCUCUUCUUGGAUGAGUUGCGAACGGGUGAGUAACGCGUAGGUAACCUGCCUUGUAGCGGGGGAUAACUAUUGGAAACGAUAGCUAAUACCGCAUAACAAUGGAUGACACAUGUCAUUUAUUUGAAAGGGGCAAUUGCUCCACUACAAGAUGGACCUGCGUUGUAUUAGCUAGUAGGUGAGGUAAUGGCUCACCUAGGCGACGAUACAUAGCCGACCUGAGAGGGUGAUCGGCCACACUGGGACUGAGACACGGCCCAGACGCCUACGGGAGGCAGCAGUAGGGAAUCUUCGGCAAUGGGGGCAACCCUGACCGGGCAACGCCGCGGGAGGGAAGAAGGUUUUCGGAUCGUAAAGCUCUGUUGUAAGUCAAGAAAGGGUGUGAGAGUGGAAAGUUCACACUGUGACGGUAGCUUACCAGAAAGGGACGGCUAACUACGUG
Molecule: ribosomal RNA, 497 nt
Filed under: uncultured bacterium
Lineage: Bacteria
Description: partial 16S ribosomal RNA
Rfam family: Bacterial small subunit ribosomal RNA
Source: RNAcentral